This is a long non-coding RNA of Mustela lutreola (European mink), 627 nucleotides long. RefSeq lists it as uncharacterized. Lineage: Eukaryota; Metazoa; Chordata; Mammalia; Carnivora; Mustelidae. The transcript is spliced from 2 exons. The record is from RefSeq and is a predicted model, not a curated record.
GGACGUCGAACCCAGGUGGGAAGUGACCCUGGUGUUAGCUGUUUCUGGAGGCUGAACCUGAGAGUUUCAGGGAGGGGUGGGGGUGAGUCAGGCCAUGACCUGUAGAGGAUCAGAGCCCUUUCUUCGCUCCCCAGCCGGGCAGGUGGAUGAGCUGAAACUCGGAGGGUGAGAGGGCGGAUCAGGCCUGGGAAGCGGGGCAGGUCCCCGUGGAGCCUGGCAGAGCCCGCUGGUUCUUUGCCUGGGACCAGCUCUCUUGAGGGGUGGGGACAAUCCAUUUGAUGAAGUCCCUGUUCUGCGAGUGGAAACUGGUUCCCCUUCACUUGACAGGCCAGCUUUGGGGAUUUGGGCAGCAGGCUGGGGGGUUGACAUAACACUUCUUGCCCUUUCCCAGGAAGCUUGCUUAACUCUGCAGGUUCUUUGUUCAGUGGUGAAGAGAGAGAGAGGGAGCGAGCUCAAGCACGGGGAGCGGCAGGCAGAGGGAGAAGCGGACUCCCUGCUGAGCAGGGAGACUGUCUUGGGGGCUUGAUCCCAGGACCCUGGGAUCACGACCUGAGCUGAAAGCAGAUGCUUAACCGACUGAGCCACCCAGGCGCCCCUCUAUUUUUAUAAAUAAAAUAGUUACGGUUU